Molecule: ribosomal RNA, 551 nt
Filed under: uncultured bacterium
Lineage: Bacteria
Description: bacterial SSU rRNA
Rfam family: Bacterial small subunit ribosomal RNA
Source: RNAcentral
AGUCGAGAAUUUUUCUCAAUGGGGGAAACCCUGAAGGAGCGACGCCGCGUGGGGGAUGAAUGGCUUCGGCCCGUAAACCCCUGUCAUUUGCGAUCAAACCUUACGGCCUAACACGUCGUGAGCUGAUAGUAGCGAAAGAGGAAGGGACGGCUAACUCUGUGCCAGCAGCCGCGGUAAUACAGAGGUCCCAAGCGUUGUUCGGAUUCACUGGGCGUAAAGGGUGCGUAGGCGGUCGGGUAAGUCUAACGUGAAAUCUCCGAGCCCAACUCGGAAACUGCGUCGGAUACUAUUCGGCUAGAGGAAUGGAGGGGAGACUGGAAUUCUCGGUGUAGCAGCGAAAUGCGUAGAUAUCGAGAGGAACACCAGUGGCGAAGGCGAGUCUCUGGACAUUUCCUGACGCUGAGGCACGAAAGCCAGGGGAGCAAACGGGAUUAGAUACCCCGGUAGUCCUGGCCCUAAACGGUGCACGUUUGCUGUAAGAGGAAUCGACCCCUUUUGUGGCGAAGCUAACGCGUUAAACGUGCCGCCUGGGAAGUACGGCCGCAAGGUUA